RNAcentral lists this non-coding RNA (184 nucleotides) under Desulfovibrio sp. RNAcentral describes it as "6S RNA". It matches the Rfam family "6S / SsrS RNA". From Rfam's summary of the family: E. coli 6S RNA was the first non coding RNA to be sequenced, but its function was unknown until recently. It consists of 184 nucleotides that fold into an extended hairpin structure with a large single-stranded internal bulge. The 6S RNA specifically associates with RNA polymerase holoenzyme containing the sigma70 specificity factor. The record is from RNAcentral. Lineage: Bacteria; Pseudomonadati; Thermodesulfobacteriota; Desulfovibrionia; Desulfovibrionales; Desulfovibrionaceae.
UGCACCCUGGAGCGCGCGUGACGGCUGUCGUCGCAGGCCUCACAAGUAUACAUGAAGGGAUUUGAAUGACGAUUCGGUGUGCAGGCCCGGAAUACGCCGGGAAGCCUUAAGAGUCGUCCGAUUAUCCCGCCGUAGGAUCAUAGGUUCUGCGGGAAGGCAUCCGCACGGCACAUCCGGGGUAACA